UAGGGAAUCUUCCGCAAUGGGCGAAAGCCUGACGGAGCAACGCCGCGUGAGUGAUGAAGGUCUUCGGAUCGUAAAACUCUGUUAUUAGGGAAGAACAAAUGUGUAAGUAACUAUGCACGUCUUGACGGUACCUAAUCAGAAAGCCACGGCUAACUACGUGCCAGCAGCCGCGGUAAUACGUAGGUGGCAAGCGUUAUCCGGAAUUAUUGGGCGUAAAGCGCGCGUAGGCGGUUUUUUAAGUCUGAUGUGAAAGCCCACGGCUCAACCGUGGAGGGUCAUUGGAAACUGGAAAAAUUGAGUGCAGAAGAGGAAAGAGGAAUUCCAUGUGUGGCGGUGAAAUGCAGAGAGAUAUGAGAAAACACCAGUAGCGAAGGCGACUUUCUGGUCUGUAACUGACGCUGAUGUGCGAAAGCGUGGAGAUCAAACAGG
Molecule: ribosomal RNA, 429 nt
Filed under: Actinomycetes bacterium
Lineage: Bacteria; Bacillati; Actinomycetota; Actinomycetes
Description: Actinobacteria bacterium partial 16S ribosomal RNA
Rfam family: Bacterial small subunit ribosomal RNA
Source: RNAcentral